GAUGAACGCUGGCGGCGUGCCUAAUACAUGCAAGUCGAGCGAACGGACGAGAAGCUUGCUUCUCUGAUGUUAGCGGCGGACGGGUGAGUAACACGUGGAUAACCUACCUAUAAGACUGGGAUAACUUCGGGAAACCGUAGCUAAUACCGGAUAAUAUUUUGAACCGCAUGGUUCAAAAGUGAAAGACGGUCUUGCUGUCACUUAUAGAUGGAUCCGCGCUGCAUUAGCUAGUUGGUAAGGUAACGGCUUACCAAGGCAACGAUGCAUAGCCGACCUGAGAGGGUGAUCGGCAAAACUGAAACUGAGAAACGGUCCAGACUCCUACGGGAGGCAGCAGUAGGGAAUCUUCCGAAAUGGGCGAAAGCCUGACGGAGCAACGCGGGGGGAGUGAUGAAGGUCUUCGGAUCGUAAAACUCUGUUAUUAGGGAAGAAAAUAUGUGUAAGUAACUGUGCACAUCUUGACGGUACCUAAUAAGAAAGCCACGGCUAACUACGU
This 496-nucleotide ribosomal RNA is filed under the name uncultured bacterium. RNAcentral's name for it is "partial 16S ribosomal RNA". It matches the Rfam family "Bacterial small subunit ribosomal RNA", at positions 28 to 506 of the family's 1533-position model. The record is from RNAcentral.